RNAcentral lists this ribosomal RNA (425 nucleotides) under uncultured bacterium. RNAcentral's name for it is "partial 16S ribosomal RNA". It matches the Rfam family "Bacterial small subunit ribosomal RNA", at positions 354 to 796 of the family's 1533-position model. The record is from RNAcentral.
GUUAGGAAUAUUGGACAAUGGGCGCAAGCCUGAUCCAGCCAUGCCGCGUGAGUGAUGAAGGCCUUAGGGUUGUAAAGCUCUUUCAGUGGGGACGAUAAUGACGGUACCCACAGAAGAAGCCCCGGCUAACUUCGUGCCAGCAGCCGCGGUAAUACGAAGGGGGCUAGCGUUGUUCGGAUUUACUGGGCGUAAAGCGCACGUAGGCGGAUCGUUAAGUCGGGGGUGAAAUCCUGGAGCUCAACUCCAGAACUGCCUUCGAUACUGGCGAUCUUGAGUCCGGAAGAGGUGAGUGGAACUCCUAGUGUAGAGGUGGAAUUCGUAGAUAUUAGGAAGAACACCAGUGGCGAAGGCGGCUCACUGGUCCGGUACUGACGCUGAGGUGCGAAAGCGUGGGGAGCAAACAGGAUUAGAUACCCGAGUAGUCC